This 506-nucleotide ribosomal RNA is filed under the name uncultured bacterium. RNAcentral describes it as "partial 16S ribosomal RNA". It matches the Rfam family "Bacterial small subunit ribosomal RNA", at positions 29 to 523 of the family's 1533-position model. The record is from RNAcentral.
AGUGAACGCUGGCGGUAGGCCUAACACAUGCAAGUCGAACGGCAGCAAAGGAGAGCUUGCUCUCUGGGUGGCGAGUGGCGGACGGGUGAGGAAUACAUCGGAAUCUACUCUGUCGUGGGGGAUAACGUAGGGAAACUUACGCUAAUACCGCAUACGACCUACGGGCGAAAGCAGGGGACCGUCGGGCCUUGCGCGAUUGAAUGAGCGGAUGGCGGAUUAGCUAGUUGGCGGGGUAAAGGCCCACCAAGGCGACGAUCCGUAGCUGGUCUGAGAGGAUGAUCAGCCACGCUGGAACUGAGACACGGUCCAGACUCCUACGGGAGGCAGCAGUGGGGAAUAUUGGACAAUGGGCGCAAGCCUGAUCCAGCCAUACCGCGUGGGUGAAGAAGGCCUUCGGGUUGUAAAGCCCUUUUGUUGGGAAAGAAAUCCAGCUGGCUAAUACCCGGUUGGGACGACGGUACCCAAAGAAUAAGCACCGGCUAACUUCGUGCCAGCCGCCGCCGUAA